AGCGAACGCUGGCGGCAGGCCUAACACAUGCAAGUCGAACGAACUCUUCGGAGUUAGUGGCGGACGGGUGAGUAACACGUGGGAACGUGACUUUUGGUUCGGACUAACUCAGGGAAACUUGUGCUAAUACCGAAUGUGCCCUUAGGGGGAAAGAUUUAUCGCCCUUAGAGCGGCCCGCGUCUGAUUAGCUAGUUGGUGAGGUAACGGCUGACCAAGGCGACGAUCAGUAGCUGGUCUGAGAGGAUGACCAGCCACCCUGGGACUGAGACACGGCCCAGACUCCUACGGGAGGCAGCAGUGGGGAAUCUUGCGCAAUGGGCGAAAGCCUGACGCAGCCAUGCCGCGUGAAUGAUGAAGGUCUUAGGAUUGUAAAAUUCUUUCACCGGGGACGAUAAUGACGGUACCCGGAGAAGAAGCCCCGGCUAACUUCGUG
RNAcentral lists this ribosomal RNA (433 nucleotides) under uncultured bacterium. RNAcentral describes it as "partial 16S ribosomal RNA". It matches the Rfam family "Bacterial small subunit ribosomal RNA", at positions 29 to 507 of the family's 1533-position model. The record is from RNAcentral.